GAUGGUCGCGGUGGCGCAUGCCUGUAGUCCCAGCUACCUGGGAGGCUGGGACUGGAGGAUAGCUUGAGUCUAGGAGUUCUGGGCUGCUGUGCGCUAUGCCGAUCGGGUGUCCGCACUAAGUUCGGCAUCAAUAUGGUGACCUCUUGGGAGCAGGGGACCACCAGGUUGCCUAAGCAGGGGUGAACCGGCCCAGGUCGGAAAUGGAGCAGGUCAAAACUCCCGUGAUGAUGGUCAUUUUAACUGGAGUUAGGUGGUAUCUCAGUGUGGUUUUAAUUUGCAUUUCUU
RNAcentral lists this signal recognition particle RNA (285 nucleotides) under Carlito syrichta (Philippine tarsier). RNAcentral describes it as "Metazoan signal recognition particle RNA (ENSTSYG00000030384.1)". It matches the Rfam family "Metazoan signal recognition particle RNA". From Rfam's summary of the family: The signal recognition particle (SRP) is a universally conserved ribonucleoprotein. Lineage: Eukaryota; Metazoa; Chordata; Mammalia; Primates; Tarsiidae. The record is from RNAcentral.